GUACGGUGCGGAACACGUGUGUAACCUGCCUUUAAUCUGGGGGGAUUAGCCUUUCGAAAGGAAGAUUAAUACUCCAUAAUAUAUUGAACGGCAUCGUUUAAUAUUGAAAGCUCCGGCGGAUAGAGAUGGGCACGCGCAAGAUUAGCUAGUUGGUGAGGUAACGGCUCACCAAGGCGAUGAUCUUUAGGGGGCCUGAGAGGGUGAUCCCCCACACUGGUACUGAGACACGGACCAGGACUCCUACGGGAGGCAGCAGUGAGGAAUAUUGGUCAAUGGGUGCAAGCCUGAACCAGCCAUCCCGCGUGAAGGACGACUGCCCUAUGGGUUGUAAACUUCUUUUGUAUAGGGAUAAACCUACCCUCGUGAGGGUAGCUGAAGGUACUAUACGAAUAAGCACCGGCUAACUCCGUG
This 411-nucleotide ribosomal RNA is filed under the name uncultured bacterium. Its description in RNAcentral is "bacterial SSU rRNA". It matches the Rfam family "Bacterial small subunit ribosomal RNA", at positions 100 to 507 of the family's 1533-position model. The record is from RNAcentral.